Molecule: ribosomal RNA, 1130 nt
Filed under: Bacillus licheniformis
Lineage: Bacteria; Bacillati; Bacillota; Bacilli; Caryophanales; Bacillaceae
Description: bacterial SSU rRNA
Rfam family: Bacterial small subunit ribosomal RNA
Source: RNAcentral
ACAUGCAGUCGAGCGGACCGACGGGAGCUUGCUCCCUUAGGUCAGCGGCGGACGGGUGAGUAACACGUGGGUAACCUGCCUGUAAGACUGGGAUAACUCCGGGAAACCGGGGCUAAUACCGGAUGCUUGAUUGAACCGCAUGGUUCAAUCAUAAAAGGUGGCUUUUAGCUACCACUUGCAGAUGGACCCGCGGCGCAAUAGCUAGUUGGUGAGGUAACGGCUCACCAAGGCGACGAUGCGUAGCCGACCUGAGAGGGUGAUCGGCCACACUGGGACUGAGACACGGCCCAGACUCCUACGGGAGGCAGCAGUAGGGAAUCUUCCGCAAUGGACGAAAGUCUGACGGAGCAACGCCGCGUGAGUGAUGAAGGUUUUCGGAUCGUAAAACUCUGUUGUUAGGGAAGAACAAGUACCGUUCGAAUAGGGCGGUACCUUGACGGUACCUAACCAGAAAGCCACGGCUAACUACGUGCCAGCAGCCGCGGUAAUACGUAGGUGGCAAGCGUUGUCCGGAAUUAUUGGGCGUAAAGCGCGCGCAGGCGGUUUCUUAAGUCUGAUGUGAAAGCCCCCGGCUCAACCGGGGAGGGUCAUUGGAAACUGGGGAACUUGAGUGCAGAAGAGGAGAGUGGAAUUCCACGUGUAGCGGUGAAAUGCGUAGAGAUGUGGAGGAACACCAGUGGCGAAGGCGACUCUCUGGUCUGUAACUGACGCUGAGGCGCGAAAGCGUGGGGAGCGAACAGGAUUAGAUACCCUGGUAGUCCACGCCGUAAACGAUGAGUGCUAAGUGUUAGAAGGGUUUCCGCCCUUUAGUGCUGCAGCAAACGCAUUAAGCACUCCGCCUGGGGGAGUACGGUCGCAAGACUGAAACUCAAAGGAAUUGACGGGGGCCCGCACAAGCGGUGGAGCAUGUGGUUUAAUUCGAAGCAACGCGAAGAACCUUACCAGGUCUUGACAUCCUCUGACAACCCUAGAGAUAGGGCUUCCCCUUCGGGGGCAGAGUGACAGGUGGUGCAUGGUUGUCGUCAGCUCCUGUCGUGAGAUGUUGGGUUAAGUCCCGCACCGAGCGCAACCCUUGAUCUUAGUUGCCAGCAUUCAGUUGGGCACUCUAAGGUGACUGCCGGUGACAACCC